Molecule: ribosomal RNA, 486 nt
Filed under: uncultured Oxalobacteraceae bacterium
Lineage: Bacteria; Pseudomonadati; Pseudomonadota; Betaproteobacteria; Burkholderiales; Oxalobacteraceae
Description: bacterial SSU rRNA
Rfam family: Bacterial small subunit ribosomal RNA
Source: RNAcentral
GCGAGUGGCGAACGGGUGAGUAAUAUAUCGGAAUGUACCCUAGAGUGGGGGAUAACGUAGCGAAAGUUACGCUAAUACCGCAUACGAUCUGAGGAUGAAAGUGGGGGAUUCGCAAGAACCUCAUGCUCAUGGAGCAGCCGAUAUCUGAUUAGCUAGUUGGUAGGGUAAAAGCCUACCAAGGCAACGAUCAGUAGCUGGUUUGAGAGAACGACCAGCCACACUGGAACUGAGACACGGUCCAGACUCCUACGGGAGGCAGCAGUGGGGAAUUUUGGACAAUGGGCGAAAGCCUGAUCCAGCAAUGCCGCGUGAGUGAAGAAGGCCUUCGGGUUGUAAAGCUCUUUUGUCAGGGAAGAAACGGUAGCCUCUAAUACAGGUUACUAAUGACGGUACCUGAAGAAUAAGCACCGGCUAACUACGUGCCAGCAGCCGCGGUAAUACGUAGGGUGCAAGCGUUAAUCGGAAUUACUGGGCGUAAAGCGUGCG